Oncorhynchus nerka (sockeye salmon) is the source of this 3755-nucleotide long non-coding RNA. RefSeq lists it as uncharacterized. Lineage: Eukaryota; Metazoa; Chordata; Actinopteri; Salmoniformes; Salmonidae. The transcript is spliced from 2 exons. The record is from RefSeq and is a predicted model, not a curated record.
UGUGUCUGAGGCCAUGCUAGCUAGGAGAGGCUAGUGCCUAGUUGUCAUCAGGGCUGCACGUGAGCAGAAAGCCCUGCUUUUCGUGUAUUAUUAUUAUUAUUGCGUUGGUGCAAAUCUCCCAAUCCUUUAUUCACAACCGUAUUCUGUUUUUAACCCCCCUCAAAGAGAGAAAUGAAUUACAAAAGCCAGGCUUGUCAUCAACACAUUUCCAUCUAGAGGAGGAUGCAGUUAUUAGACCUGCAGACCUCUCUUCCUGUGCCAGCCCAGCUAACUCAGCCAGUGUUCUAAGCAUAAAUGAAGAUAGUCCAUGCGAUGUGCUCUACUACGUACGUCCCACAAUGCAGUUCACUCACUCAAACAAGACUGCAAUAAAGAGGGUAUACCUAGAUGCUUUAGGGAACCAAAGUCGCCUGUGCAGUAAUACAGUAUUUCAUUUCAGUUUUUCUGAGUUCAUUAUUCUUUUCCUAUUUUUCUUACGAAGACCAGAUGGACUACAGCAAACCAAAGAUUGGCCUUGAAUAGAUAACAGUGCAGUCAAAAUCCAGGAAAACACUAGUGAAAACAACUGGACUUAUUCAGUUUACAGACACCCAGGCUUUUUCACCAGUCAAUCCUCUCAUUUCCAAAGGUCAAAAUAGAGAUGUUUGUUGCUAGGCAGUUGUGUAACGUGAAUAGGUCUGCAACAGGUUUGGGGAAAUGAACACAAAAAGCUAAACAAAGGCUCACAUUUGGUUUGGUUAUUAUAGUCAUACAGUAUCUGAAUCUACUAGCGUUUCAAUAUGUCAGGGAGGGAGUGCUGAAAUAGAAUUUAACACACUAGUGAAAACCGUAUCCUUGUGUUGGCUUGCUGGUGUUCUACUGCACCAUGACUUUAGCUUGCUGGUGUUCUUCUGCACCAGGACUUUAGCUUGCUGAUGUUGUACUGCACCAUGAAUUUAGCUUGCUGGUGUUCUACUGCACCAUGACUUUAGCUUGCUGGUGUUCUACUGCACCAGUUCUGCACCAGGACUUUAGCUUGCCUGUGUUCUACUGCACCAGUUCUGCACCAGGACUUUAGCUUGCUGGUGUUCUACUGUACCAGUUCUGCACCAGGACUUUAGCUUGCUGGUGUUCUACUGCACCAGGACUUUAGCUUGCUGGUGUUCUUCUGCACCAGGACUUUAGCUUGCUGGUGUUCUACUGCACCAGGACUUGAGCUUGCUGGUGUACUACUGCACCAGUUCUGCACCAGGACUUUAGCUUGCCGGUGUUCUACUGCACCAGUUCUGCACCAUGACUUUAGCUUGCUGGUGUUCUACUGCACCAGUUCUGCACCAUGACUUUAGCUUUCUGGUGUUCUACUGCACCAGUUCUGCACCAGGACUUUAGCUUGCCAGUGUUCUACUGCACCAGUUCUGCACCAUGACUUUAGCUUGCUGGUGUUCUACUGCACCAGUUCUGCACCAGAACUUUAGCUUGCUGGUGCUCUACUGCACCAUGACUUUAGCUUGCUGAUGUUGUACUGCACUAUGACUUUAGCUUGCUGGUGUUCUACUGCACCAUGACUUUAGCUUGCUGGUGUUCUACUGCACCAGUUCUGCACCAGGACUUUAGCUUGCUGGUGUUCUUCUGCACCAUGACUUUAGCUUGCUGGUGUUCUACUGCACCAGUUCUGCACCAUGACUUUAGCUUGCUGGUGUUCUUCUGCACCAUGACUUUAGCUUGCUGGUGUUCUACUGCACCAGUUCUGCACCAGGACUUUAGCUUGCUGGUGUUCUACUGCACCAGUUCUGCACCAUGACUUUAGCUUGCUUGUGUUCUACUGCACCAGGACUUUAGCUUGCUGGUGUUCUACUGCACCAGUUCUGCACCAGGACUUUAGCUUGCUGGUGUUCUACUGCACCAGUUCUGCACCAUGACUUUAGCUUGCUGGUGUGGUGGAUAAACAUUUUAGGAGUUAAACACUUUUUUGAAGAAUUUGCUGUUAAUGAGAGAAAAAAAGAUUAUUUUAUACAUGGCCUGCUGAUUUUUGGUACAGUGUUUUCUAGCUAAAUUAUUUUGUCAUGCACAUAUAAACAUUUUAUGCACUACUUUUCUAAAUAUUUCUUUUUUUCUUCCCAACAGUCAUUUUAGGCACAUUUUUCACAAAUGGGGAAAACUCCUUUUUGCAAUACCUCAAUUUUUCACAUUGUGAAAGUGCUGAGGAAUCUUCACAACCAAGUAGCGUGCGUGCAUUGACGCGACUUCCGAAACGGCAGAGGAACGAUCAGUGUACUGCUUAAAGGUCUUAGACCUUAUACACUAGAUGUUUCACAAAAAUCAGAUCUUAACAGCAUGGCGAGGACAAAGUUGUCAUUUAAAAUUUUAAUGUUAUUGUUUAAAAAAAAAAUGGCUAUCCUAGUUGGGGAAAAUGGUAACUUCUCUUUUUGGUUUCCUCUCCAUAGCUGGAAUAUAACUAUUAUAAGGAUAAUGCAAAUUAUGGUUCAUGCUUCGGCUGAAUCUCGUAUCACAAGAAUGGAUGUUUGGUGUUUAGAUAUUUUAACAUUUGAAAAUAUAUAUUCUUGAACUUGCCAACUAGCUCCUAUUGUAAUCCUUAGCAUGCAUGACGAAAAAAAGAUAAGUACAUGAAUUAGCUAUUGAAUUUGAUUGUUGUGGUUGUGCACCAGAUGUUUCUCAACUUUAAUUUGUUAAGGACACCCCCACACCUCACUUCUCUCCCAUGUGUUGAUAUCUUUGCCUUCUCCAUACUCAGACCUCUGCAGGAUGCAAAGAAAAAAAAGAUGAGAAAAUAAGAAAAAAACGAACUCUAAAAUCUAUUUUAGCAGUGGAGGACUUGAGCAUCUUAUAGGACACUGUUGAAAAGACUUGUUAACUCAUCUCCACUGUCUGUUGAGGUAAUUCAACCGUUUUGGAAGAAGGGGAACUUUAAGACUUGAAUGUGGUAAAUGUUGCAAGUUAACUUCGAGUUGUUAUGUGCAAUACAUUUUAUUUUAUUUUUUUCCAGAUAAAGACUCUUUGCAAUGUAAUUCUUUAAUGCCAUUUUUAAUUGCAGACAUUUAAAGAAGACGUUAAUAUGUUUUUCAGUCAUUUUCUACUGUUAUUGUAAUCCUUUUCAUGCUGGUGUUUGUAAAAAAGAAAAAGAAAUCAAACUAUUUGUACUAAUAUAAAUAAUUGAAGUUAUUUUUAAAACAUUAAAGGUUUUGUGCUCAUUUGUUUAUUUCAAGCUACUGUGAUUGCAUUGUAAUUAUUAGGUCAAUAAUGUAUUUAGCUGUUUAUUGGUAUAUUUUUAAUUGGAAUGUAUAAUUUUUAUAAUUUUGAUCAGAUUUUUGUUAUAUUUUUGAGGUGAAGCUUUUAAAGUGUCUAGUUUUUACUAAUUGCUAUAUUGUGCUCCACAAUAUAUGAUUAACAUUUUCUGAAGGAAAAUAAAUAUUUAAAUAUUUGUCUGUUAAUGAUGUUACUUAAUGGCAAAAUUUCAAUAGUUUUUAACUGUAUGGGAAGGUUGUUGUAUUUAUUAAUAGCAUUUUUUACUUAAGAUAUCACCUUAAUUUCUAUUGUCAUUUCACUUUAUAAGUUCCUAUUUUUGUAUUUUCCUUUCUAAUUAAGUUAUGUAAUACAAAAUGUCCAUAUUUCUAGGAGUUGGUCUGUAGCAGUGCUAGUGAAACGAAAAAUACAAUUCUGUUAUUUAAUUGUUUGCAGCCAACUAUUUAUAACAGUGCAUCAUUUUGAAAUAUUUGUAAUGUGAAAUGUUGAAUGAAUAAAACUUAACUGUGAUAAGG